Long non-coding RNA from Oryzias sinensis (Chinese medaka), 1563 nucleotides. The record is from Ensembl. NCBI's taxonomy places the organism in Eukaryota, Metazoa, Chordata, Actinopteri, Beloniformes, Adrianichthyidae.
UACCCCAUGGCUGAAUUCAAAACUCUUCAGUUCCUCUUCCCCUUGAAACCUCAAAAUGCUUCAGUGAAAGUCAUCUGCGUGUAAAAGUUCGCCGAGGCUUGUUUCGGUCUGUCAGUCAGCUCACCACCAGACUUUUUUUUAAACCGUUGAACUCUAUAUGAGGAACAUGCAAACGCUCAGGCAAGCGUAGUUUGUCAACAUUUCAAGUAUUUGCAUGCAUUUGUUUGCAGUACUUUAGUUUGUACAGUUAGAGUGAAAACCUCACUAGUGAUGGGGAGACCUCUCCCCUCUGGAAUGCUCGUACAUGAGCUCCUAUGCCAGCUAUAAACUUUUAGUUUGUCCUGUUAUCAGGAUGCUGUUGAGCCAAAAUAAAAACAAAAAGUUUGUUGACGUGGUUUAGUUUCAGGUUGAGAUUUCUGUAGAACUUAGGGAACUGAGAAAUCCAAGCAGAGGUCCAAAACAGAGAAGCUGUAUUGAGUCUCAGGUCAGAGCGUCCUGCACAGACCAUGGCCUAUUUUCAUUUCCAGCUGAUUGUCUCAGUCUCAUUUCUGUUGAGCCUUCUAGCAAAGUGCAGUGGUAAGUCACUGGAUCAUUUUCUAUUAUUGGAUAAAGCAACUCAACCUUUGCCAGCUGUUUAAUGUGUCUUCAUGCUGUAACUGUUUGACAGCGGUCUCUGCAAGUUCUGACGUUCGGACAGCAUUUCCAGGGGAAGAGGCAUCUCUCUCCUGCUUGAAUUCAACCCUGGUGGAUAUGAGCACCUACAGAGUCAGAUGGAUGAAGACUGCCGGCAACACAAAUGGUAGCACUAUCUUUGAGUGGCCGAGUGAGUCUCUGCAAACAGAUAAGGUGGUAUGGAAAGCAGAUGGAGAUGGAAAUAUGUGCGUCUUUUUGAAGAACCCGGGCCAGUUGGAUGCUGGGUCAUACAUAGAGGAAGUCUGGAAAGGAUGGAAGCUUAUUGAGAAGAAAUACAUACAGCUAAAAGUCAAAGAUUGCAAAGUCCUUCAGGCUGUGAUGGCUGCACCGGGCUACCCUUUAACGCUCAAGUGUAACCCAAAAUCUGAGUCUUCAAACUUCACCUGGGCAAAGUUAAAGGGACAGGAGCAAGUCUCGAUAAGAGAAAGGAACGAUGGACCCUUGGUUUUCCAGUCUGUGAACACCUCUGACGCUGGCUGGUACAGGUGUACCUACAUGUUGAGCCAACGGCAACAUUGCCACGACAUCAAUUUGCUCAUCCAAGAUAGUUUAGUGAUCACAACCACUGCAGUCGUCAUGGCAACAACCAAUCAAGCAUUGGAGGCCACCCAGCAGGUCCCCUCGUCAACCUCAACUCCAGUUGUGGCUUCAGUAGUUAGUGUGGUGAUAAUGAUUAUUGCUGUACUGACAGCACUGAUCAUCUACUUCAAAUUUCAUACCCAAAAGUCACCAACCCAAUUGACAAGAGCCUAUCCAGCUUACAUGGACACCUAUGAGAAUAUGAGUCUUCCAGAUGUACAGGGUAAGUGCUUUUUACUGUCGUUAUCAACUGAUACUAACUGCUCUUUCAAAAAGGGCAUGGUAGACUAG